RNAcentral lists this microRNA precursor (205 nucleotides) under Oryza glumipatula. RNAcentral describes it as "MIR812 microRNA precursor family". It matches the Rfam family "MIR812 microRNA precursor family". Lineage: Eukaryota; Viridiplantae; Streptophyta; Magnoliopsida; Poales; Poaceae. The record is from Rfam by way of RNAcentral.
AAAAAGACAAACCCUAAUUUCCGUGCCCAAUGUUUGACCGUCCGUCUUAUUUGAAAAAAUUAUGAAAAAAAUUGAAAAGACAAGUCACGCAUAAAAUAUUAAUCAUGUUUUAUCAUCUAACAACAAUGAAAAUAUGAAUUAUAAAAAAAUUUCAUAUAAGACGGACAGUUAAAGUUAGACACGGAAACUCAGGGUUUGUCUUUUU